GAAAAGAUAAACGUUGGUUUCUAGCCUUCAUACUGCUAAUUGCUCUUUUCC
This 51-nucleotide transfer RNA is filed under the name Leptotrombidium fletcheri. RNAcentral's name for it is "tRNA-Ser". The record is from RNAcentral. Lineage: Eukaryota; Metazoa; Arthropoda; Arachnida; Trombidiformes; Trombiculidae.